RNAcentral lists this ribosomal RNA (446 nucleotides) under uncultured bacterium. RNAcentral's name for it is "bacterial SSU rRNA". It matches the Rfam family "Bacterial small subunit ribosomal RNA", at positions 331 to 793 of the family's 1533-position model. The record is from RNAcentral.
CCAGACUCCUACGGGAGGCAGCAGUGGGGAAUAUUGCACAAUGGGGGAAACCCUGAUGCAGCAACGCCGCGUGAAGGAAGACGGUUUUCGGAUUGUAAACUUCUGUUCUUAGUGAAGAAUAAUGACGGUAGCUAAGGAGCAAGCCACGGCUAACUACGUGCCAGCAGCCGCGGUAAUACGUAGGUGGCAAGCGUUGUCCGGAAUUACUGGGUGUAAAGGGAGCGCAGGCGGCAAGGUAAGCGAUAUGUGAAAGCCUUAAGCUUAACUUAAGGAUGGCAUAACGAACUAUCUAGCUAGAGUACAGGAGAGGAAAGCGGAAUUCCUAGUGUAGCGGUGAAAUGCGUAGAUAUUAGGAAGAACACCAGUGGCGAAGGCGGCUUUCUGGACUGAAACUGACGCUGAGGCUCGAAAGCGUGGGGAGCGAACAGGAUUAGAUACCCCCGUAU